AAAGUCGGCCUGGCAAUCGCUGGAUACUUUGGUAUCGGGAGGAAAGUCCGGGCUCCACUGGGCAGGAUGCCAGCUAACGGCUGGGCGCUAUAAGCCGCAAGGCGAAGGCGACGGAAAGUGCAACAGAAAGCAAACCGCCGAUGGCCCCGCAAGGGGAUCAGGUAAGGGUGAAACGGCGAGGUAAGAGCUCACCGCGUCCACGGUAACGGCGGACGGCACGGUAAACCCCAUCCGGAGCAAGACCAAAUAGGGAAGCUGAGGCGUGGCCCGCGCUGCUUCCGGGUAGGUUGCUUGAGCCUGUCGGUGACGGCAGGCCUAGAGGAAUGAUUGCCGAACCUCGCAAGAGGGGAACAGAACCCGGCUUAUCGGCCGGCUUUCCAA
RNAcentral lists this RNase P RNA (381 nucleotides) under Dechloromonas sp. Its description in RNAcentral is "RNase P RNA component class A". It matches the Rfam family "Bacterial RNase P class A". Rfam says of the family: Ribonuclease P (RNase P) is a ubiquitous endoribonuclease, found in archaea, bacteria and eukarya as well as chloroplasts and mitochondria. Its best characterised activity is the generation of mature 5'-ends of tRNAs by cleaving the 5'-leader elements of precursor-tRNAs. Cellular RNase Ps are ribonucleoproteins. The record is from RNAcentral. Lineage: Bacteria; Pseudomonadati; Pseudomonadota; Betaproteobacteria; Rhodocyclales; Azonexaceae.